GAUCCUGGCUCAGGAUGAACGCUAGCGGCAGGCUUAAUACAUGCAAGUCGUGGGGCAGCAGGUUUGUAGCAAUACAGAUGCUGGCGACCGGCAAACGGGUGCGGAACACGUACAGAACCUUCCUUUGAGCGGGGAAUAGCCCAGAGAAAUUUGGAUUAAUACCCCAUAGUAUAAUGAAGUGGCAUCACUUUAUUAUUAAUGAUUUAUCACUCGAAGAUGGCUGUGCGGCUGAUUAGGUAGUUGGCGGGGUAAAGGCCCACCAAGCCUGCGAUCAGUAACUGGUGUGAGAGCACGACCAGUCACACGGGCACUGAGACACGGGCCCGACUCCUACGGGAGGCAGCAGUAAGGAAUAUUGGUCAAUGGAGGCAACUCUGAACCAGCCAUGCCGCGUGGAGGAUGAAGGUCCUCUGGAUUGUAAACUUCUUUUAUAUGGGACGAAAAAGGCUUUUCUAAGUCGUCUGACGGUACCAUAUGAAUAAGCACCGGCUAACUCCGUG
This 500-nucleotide ribosomal RNA is filed under the name uncultured bacterium. RNAcentral's name for it is "bacterial SSU rRNA". It matches the Rfam family "Bacterial small subunit ribosomal RNA", at positions 15 to 507 of the family's 1533-position model. The record is from RNAcentral.